Long non-coding RNA from Choloepus didactylus (southern two-toed sloth), 354 nucleotides. RefSeq lists it as uncharacterized. The record is from RefSeq and is a predicted model, not a curated record. The transcript has 3 exons. NCBI's taxonomy places the organism in Eukaryota, Metazoa, Chordata, Mammalia, Pilosa, Megalonychidae.
GGCAAAGCUGGGUGCCAAGCCUGGCCCUGCCACUUGCUGAGCGAUGUUGGCAGGUCACUCAUCCUCUCCGAGCUUCAGUUUCCCUCUCUUUUAGGUGAGGGAAAUGGUCAUCUUUGUUCCCAGCAGCCGCUGAACACAUUCCAUGUUAGGUAUCAUUUUGGAGAAGAGGGAGCCCCCAAACAAAGCCUAUCCUGGGAGCAAGCAGAGCCAAGAGAUGCCCACUGAUUUUUCCAGCAAACCUGUGAGGUGAGGACUAUGAAUGGCUUUCCCAUUUUAUAGAAGAAGAAACUGGCACCCAGGGAAGGGAAGGCAUCUGCUACAUCCCAGGAUCCCGCAGCCCCAAAGCGCCCCACC